This is a long non-coding RNA of Oncorhynchus tshawytscha (Chinook salmon), 5753 nucleotides long. Lineage: Eukaryota; Metazoa; Chordata; Actinopteri; Salmoniformes; Salmonidae. The record is from Ensembl.
CAAUUUUUCAGUUUUUGAUUUGUUAAAAAAGUUUGAAAUAUCCAAUAAAUGUCGUUCCACUUCAUGAUUGUGUCCCACUUGUUGUUGAUUCUUCACGAAAAAAUACAGUUUUAUAUCUUUGUUUGAAGCCUGAAAUGUGGCAAAAGGUCGCAAAGUUCAAGGGGGCCGAAUACUUUCGCAAGGCACUGUAUGUAAUCUUUCAUUCUCUCCAACAACUCUAGGUACCGCCUGUCGUCAGACAGGUUACAACUACCAAGCUACUCUUUACCAUGGGUCGUGUCCACCAAGGAAACAUUUGUUGGUGAAUCUGAACGAUCUCAUUUCAAGCCGGAAGUGUUUAAGUGUGUGAGGUGCCUCUUUGUGGACACCUUUGCUUGACGGAUCUUACCACAGACGUCACCGAAGGUCACCGAAGGUGUGCGUCGUCAUCAUAUUGGGAAGCCAAAAGUGUGUAUGUUCCAGUCAAAGGAUUGCACUGCUGAACGGAUCUGCAAAGAGCUGGAACAAAUUUGGGGUGAAUUAUUAUGCCCCGUCCUCUUCAACUCCACACCGCUGGUUGCCGCACUGAGUAUAAACCAAGGCAGAGAAGUGGUUUCUUAUAGUAUUUAUCCUUUGAAAACGAGUUGACUGGAAAGGUACUGUUUGUGUGUGCCCAAACACACAGAGAUAGACGGACAUGGAAUAAGGCAGCCACUUUAGCUUGUUCUGUGACUGCUGAAGGGGUGUAGAAACACUGACAUGUACUGGCCAUUGAGAGAACUAGACCUCUUUUGCAGCAAUGGUGAAAAUGUGUGAAUUUUUUUUAGCGACUAUUAUAACGGCCUUUUGGGAUGUUCGAAAAUCAUCAGCCAUGUUCAACUGGUAUAUAUUGAUGAUGAUCAACACUGUCCUUUUGUUGCCAAAGGAGAGAGAGAUGUAUUCUGUUUUCUAUUGUACAAAUAUUCACAGCCACAGUACAAGGUACUACCAUGUAUUUUCCCAACCGAUACACUGCUCUCUGUGAAGCUGUUUGCUUCUGACAGUGAUACUGCACAGAUCGUCAGUGAUGCAUUGGUCUAUUAUCUCCGGCUCAGUCAAACAGGUUUCGAGAGCCCAUCAUAUUGAUAGUUCUGCUGUUGACCGCCGUCUGGAUGUCUCUCUCCUUCUCUCUCUCUCUCUCUCCUCACACAUAUCCGAUGUGUUUCUCAGCACUUCCAGCUCACUGGAUCACAGUUCCAGUAUAUCUUAUGUGUGUUGAGGUGAACGCCAGAAGACCACAUGAGCGAAAAGGACUGCUCCUUGUUCACAACAUGAGUUCCUAACAGUCGCCCAGAAUGUUUCUGCAUGUCUGAUUGACUGUUUCUUUGGUGUUGAUACAAUGUCAACGUAUUGGUUCGGUUUUGAGUUUCUCUUUUCUAUUUCCCCGAUGGUCUGGUAGGCACACAGGCCCGGUGGAUUAACAACCCGCCUUCCCAGAACAUUGGUGUUUUCCUCGGGAACAAAACCAGCAGCUAUUCAAAAAGGUUUUUCUCUCUCUUUUUCCCUCUCCCUACGGCAUGUAUUUGAAGUAUAGCUGAAGAAGCAUUAAGAAUAAAUGAGACGGUUUCUCAAUUUUCAUCUCCACACAAACGAGGUAUCAAAAGUAUUAUUCAACAGGUGGGGUAAAUAACUCUCAAAACAGUUCCUAUGCAAAAUCAAAGAGAAAAGAUUUCACUUGCACCAUGCUUCAGUUUUACUAUGAAAGCAUGCAGUUCAGUUAUCUUGUGGUUUUGAAAAUGAUUGGGAUAUCCAUUCCUUAUUGUAAAUCUAAUGUUGAAUAUUGUAAUUGAAGAAGGCAUUCACUUGUUUCUUACAGCACUGUAAAUUGUACUCUAAAUUAAAUAUUGUUAAGAAAGAAAAAAAGAAAAAAUGCAUAUAUAUAUAUAUAUAUAUAUAUAUAUAUAUAUAUAUAUAUAUAGUAUACAUUAUACAAUCAUAUGUAUUGUUUCCAUAUACAGUACCUUCAGAAAGUAUUCAUACCCCUUGACUUAUUCCACAUUUUGUUGUUACAACCUGAAUUCAAAAUGGCUGAAAUAUAUAUUUUUCUUCUCGCUCAUCUACACACAAUAACACAUGUAUUUAUUUGAUUUUUAUUUCAUCUUUAUUUAACUAGACAAGUCAGUUAAGAACAAAUUAUUAUUUACAAUGACUGCUAAGCCCUAACCCGGACGACGCGGGCUAACUGUGCCCUGCCCUAUGGGACUCCCAAUCACGGCCGGUUGUGAUACAGCCUGGAAUCGAACCAGUGUCUAUAGUGAUACCUCUAGCACUGAGAUGCAAUGUUUUUAGAAAUGUUAGCAAAUUUAUUGAAAAUGAAAUACAAAAAUAUAUAAUUUACAUAAGUUCACACCCCUGAGUCAAUACUUUGUAGAAGCACCUUUGGCAGCGAUUACAGCUGUGAGUCUAUCUGGGUAUGUCUCUAAGAGCUUUACACAUCUGGAUUGUAUAAUAUUUACCCAUUUAUUAUUUUCUAAAUUCUUCAAGCUAUGCCAAACUGGUUAUUGAUCAUUGCUAGACAACCAUUUUCAGGUCAUUCCAUAUAUUUUUUUAAAAGUAGAUUUAAGUCAAAACUAACUCGGCCCCUCAGGAACAUUCACCGUCUUCUUGGUAAGGAACUCCAGUGUAGAUUAGGCCUUGUGUUUUAGGUUGUUGCCCUGCUGAAAGAUGAAUUCAUCUCCCAGUGUCUGGUGGAAAGCAGACUGAACCAGGUGUUUUUGCCUAUGCUUAUCUCCAUUCCGUUUAUUUUUUUAUAUCCUGAAAAACUCCCCAGUCCUUAACGAUUACAAUCAUACCCAUAACAUGAUGCAGCCACCACUAUGCUAAUGAGAGUGGUAUUCAGUAAUGUGUUGUAUUGGAUUUGUACCAAACAUAACACUUUGUGUUCAGGACAAGAAGUUAAUUGGUUUGCAAAUUGUUUUAGCAGUUUUAUUACUUUAGUGCCUUGUUGCAAACAGGAUGCAUAUUUUGGGAUAGGUUUUAUUCUGUUCAGGCUUCCUUCUUUUCACUCUGUUAAUUAGGUUAUUAUUGUGGAGUAACUACGAUGUUGUUGGUCAACCCUCAGUUUUCUCCUAUCACGUCCAUUAAACUCUAAUUGUUUUAAAGUCACCUCUGGCCUCAUGGUGAAAUCCCUGAGCGGUUUCCUUCGAGUUAGGAAGGACACCUUUAUCUUUUUAGUGACUGGGCGUAUUGAUACACUAUCCAAAGUGUAAAUUAUAACUUCACCAUGUUCAAAGGGAUAAUCAGUGUCUGUUUUUUUUGUUUUGUUUUUUCAUAUACCAAUAGGUGACCUUCUUUGCGAACCAAUAGGUGACCUUCUUUGCGAACCAAUAGGUGACCUUCUUUGCGAACCAAUAGGUGACCUUCUUUGCGAACCAAUAGGUGUCCUUCUUUGCGAGGCAUUGGAAAAGCUUUCUGGUCUUUGUGGAUGAAUCUGUGUUUGAAAUUCACUGCUUGACUGAGGGACCUUACAAUUAUCUGUAUGUGUGGGGUACAGAGAUGAAGUAGUCAUUCAAAACUCAUGUUGAACACUAUUAUUGCACACAGAGUGAGUCCAUGCAACUUAUUAUGUGACAUGUUUAGCAAUAUUUUACUCCAAUUAUUUUGGGUUUACCAUAACAAAUGGGUUGAAUACUUAUUGACUCAAGACAUUUUAGCUUUUUAUUUGUAAUUAAUUUGUAAAUAUUUCAAAAAACAUAUUAUGGGCAUUAUGGGGUAAUGUGUCUAGGCCAGUGACAACAAAAUCUAAAUGGAAACCAAUAAAAUUCAGCCUGUAACACUGUGGAAAAUGUGGAAAAAGUCCAGGUGUGUGAAUACUUUCUGAAGGCACUGUGUAUAUACAGUAUAUAUGAAUAAUACCCAUGUUUUAGAGCUUUCCGCUUCUUGCCUUAAUGACGCAUACACUAAGCUAGAUAUAGACGGGCACCUCUGUCCAACAGAGCCUGAAUCACUCCAAUAACCAAUCUACCAUAAACCUGCUUGUCAACUUGAUAGCUCCUAGUUUUUUUCAAAGGAAAUUAUUCUCUAUAAAAACAUAUGAAAUAAUGAAUCUAGUUGGAUACUGUUGUGAUGCAACACUCAGUCUAUAGAGUCCAGGGACUUUCUCUCACAUCAGCACAAACUCCUCAGUUUGACAGGGUUGAAACAAGGCAUUUUUUAACGUGUGGACAGUGCCUUUUUAGUGUUUAUGUUUAAAGUUGCCAACACAUGAUGGGAUGUUCAGGAUUGUGUUUAUUUCUCCUUGUCCUAUGCUUUCUGAUCUGUUAAUACCUUUGAGUUACAUUUGAGUUUGUUUCUGUAUUUGUUGUGCUGUUGUCAUCUAAAAAUGUAGGAUCUGUUAUUUUCAAAAUGACCUCAAGCGGUUAAAUAUCAAAUUUGAGUUCAAUAUGUCCCAUCUCUAAUGUAAUGACUGCAAAAAGUACAACGUAGGAUGAUUUUGCAUUUUCUAUUCUAAUUAAUAUUGUCCUAAAAUGCUGUACAUAAACACAUGUUAAUAAUUUCUCAUUGAAACAUUGAUAUGAUCAUUUUCUUUGAAUGCACUGUUAUUAGCUGAAGUAUUUAGUGGUAAAUGAAAAGUAUUUCAUGUUUUGUUUAGACACUAAAGAUAUGGAGGUUGUAUAAAAGUUCUAUGCCAGACAAAGCUUUUUUAGGACUUCUUGCCUGUUGUGUGGACAUCCUAAAGAUACACACUAGUAAUGAAUACACAUAUGAAUGAUAGUGCACCUCUAGGUCUAUACCUCUUCACGUUCUCCUUUUACUAGUGUUGCAUGUACCUCCCUUUUCCAAUCCAGAAUUUAAGCACUUAUCCUCCCCCCCUCUCAACAGUCUGUACAGAAAGACAGACACUCCCAUUUGCAAAGUGCUCCUGUGAUACUUCAAAAUGGCUUCUGAGAAGCGGUUUAGGUCUCUUGUGCAUGUGGCGUGGUGCUCUCUGUCCUCCAAUAUGAAACCAAUUUACCCAUUUAACCAGAGCAUGCAAUUUCAAGUCUCACAGAAAGACAAAAAGCAACAUAAUUGUUUGUGCAUGUUUACGUCAAGGAGCCCUCCUCAUCUCUAAGGGGUACAUCCCAAAUGGCACCUUAUUUACUACAUAGUGCACCACUUUGGGAUGCAGUGCACUACAUUGGGACGCAAACUAAGUUGUAUUAAGACAUGAAGUGCUCCACCAUUUUGUGGUCCACAUUCUCUUUUGGCUCCAUGGCAUGUAAGGCAAUAGCACAGUGCAGGAAAUAAAAAUAACACAUUUAUUCAGCUGGUUUUAGCUACGUUGCCCUAAUUUCACUGUACAAAUGACUGUUAAAUGAGAAAAAAGUCACGUAUAUUUAUUUUAAACCGAGUGUACAAAACAUGAAGGACACCUGCUCUUUCCAUGACGUCGACUGACCAGGUGAAUCCAGGUGAAAGCUAUGAUCCCUUAUUGAUGUGACUUGUUAAAUCCACUGCAAUCACUUUAAAAAGCUGCUGGGUUUUUCACGGUCAACAGUUUCCCAUAUGUAUCAUGAAUGGUCCACCACCCAAAGGACAUCCAGCCAACUUGACACAACUGUGGGAAGCAUUGGAGUCAACAUGGGCCAGCAUCCCUGUGGAACGCUUUUGACACCUUGUAGAGUCCAUGCCCCGAAGAAUUGAGGCUGUUCUGAGACAAAGGGGGGAGGCAACUCAAUAUUAUGAAGGUGAUCUUAAUGUUUUAUACUCAGUGAAUAUCCUCUAUUAUAAUAAAAUCUAUUUUGCUUCAGAUA